This 469-nucleotide ribosomal RNA is filed under the name uncultured organism. RNAcentral describes it as "partial 16S ribosomal RNA". It matches the Rfam family "Bacterial small subunit ribosomal RNA", at positions 331 to 797 of the family's 1533-position model. The record is from RNAcentral.
GUACACUCCUACGGGAGGCAGCAGUGAGGAAUAUUGGACAAUGGGUGGAAGCCUGAUCCAGCCAUCCCGCGUGCAGGAAGACGGCCCUAUGGGUUGUAAACUGCUUUUAUCUGGGGAUAAACCUACUUACGUGUAAGUAGCUGAAGGUACCAGAAGAAUAAGCACCGGCUAACUCCGUGCCAGCAGCCGCGGUAAUACGGAGGGUGCAAGCGUUAUCCGGAUUUAUUGGGUUUAAAGGGUCCGUAGGCGGACUGAUAAGUCAGUGGUGAAAUCCGACAGCUUAACUGUCGAACUGCCAUUGAUACUGUUAGUCUUGAGUAAGGUUGAAGUGGCUGGAAUAAGUAGUGUAGCGGUGAAAUGCAUAGAUAUUACUUAGAACACCAAUUGCGAAGGCAGGUCACUAAGUCUUAACUGACGCUGAUGGACGAAAGCGUGGGGAGCGAACAGGAUUAGAAACCCCAGUAGUCCC